RNAcentral lists this non-coding RNA (23 nucleotides) under Arabidopsis thaliana (thale cress). The record is from RNAcentral. Lineage: Eukaryota; Viridiplantae; Streptophyta; Magnoliopsida; Brassicales; Brassicaceae.
UGCCAGGUUGUGUGAGGCUAUUA